This 497-nucleotide ribosomal RNA is filed under the name uncultured bacterium. RNAcentral describes it as "partial 16S ribosomal RNA". It matches the Rfam family "Bacterial small subunit ribosomal RNA", at positions 28 to 507 of the family's 1533-position model. The record is from RNAcentral.
GACGAACGCUGGCGGCGUGCCUAAUACAUACAAGUCGAGCGAUGAAGCUUGGUGCUUGCACCAAUUUGAAGAGCAGCGAACGGGUGAGUAACGCGUGGGGAAUCUGCCUUUGAGCGGGGGACAACAUCGGGAAACGAAUGCUAAUACCGCAUAACAACUCUAAACAUAAGAUUCAAGUUUGAAAGAUGCAAUUGCAUCACUCAAAGAUGAUCCCGCGUUGUAUUAGCUAGUUGGUGAGGGUAAGGCUCACCCAGGCGGUGAUACAUAGCCGGCCUGGGAGGGUGGUCGACCCCAUUGGGACCGGGGCCACGCCCAAGCCCCCUAGGGAGGCCGCCGUAGGGGAUCUUCGGCCAUGGGCGGAAGUCUUACCGCAGAACGCCGGGUGGGUGGAGGAGGUUUUCGGGUCGUAAAACUCUGUUUGUAGGGAAGGACGUGGGUGAGGGUGGAACGCUCAUCAAGUGACGGUAACUACAGAGAAAGGACCGGCUAACUACGUG